RNAcentral lists this ribosomal RNA (484 nucleotides) under uncultured bacterium. RNAcentral describes it as "partial 16S ribosomal RNA". It matches the Rfam family "Bacterial small subunit ribosomal RNA", at positions 30 to 507 of the family's 1533-position model. The record is from RNAcentral.
AUUGAACGCUGGCGGCAGGCCUAACACAUGCAAGUCGAGCGGAUGAAGGGAGCUUGCUCCUGGAUUCAGCGGCGGACGGGUGAGUAAUGCCUAGGAAUCUGCCUGGUAGUGGGGGAUAACGUCCGGAAACGGGCGCUAAUACCGCAUACGUCCUGAGGGAGAAAGUGGGGGAUCUUCGGACCUCACGCUAUCAGAUGAGCCUAGGUCGGAUUAGCUAGUUGGUGGGGUAAAGGCCUACCAAGGCGACGAUCCGUAACUGGUCUGAGAGGAUGAUCAGUCACACUGGAACUGAGACACGGUCCAGACUCCUACGGGAGGCAGCAGUGGGGAAUAUUGGACAAAGGGCGAAAGCCUGAUCCAGCCAUGCCGCGUGUGUGAAGAAGGUCUUCGGAUUGUAAAGCACUUUAAGUUGGGAGGAAGGGCAGUAAGUUAAUACCUUGCUGUUUUGACGUUACCCACAGAAUAAGCACCGGCUAACUUCGUG